AACUUGAUAGCCCAGAAGAGUUAGGGAAAAAGCGUAUCUGCAGGAUUAUCACGAAAGAUUUCCCCCAGUAUUUUGCAGUGGUUUCCCGGAUUAAGCAGGAAAGCAACCAGAUUGGUCCUGAAGGUGGAAUUCUGAGCAGCACCACAGUGCCCCUUGUUCAAGCAUCUUUCCCAGAGGGUGCCCUAACUAAAAGAAUUCGAGUGGGCCUCCAGGCCCAGCCUGUUCCAGAUGAAAUUGUGAAAAAGAUCCUUGGAAACAAAGCAACUUUUAGCCCAAUUGUCACUGUGGAACCAAGAAGACGGAAAUUCCAUAAACCAAUCACAAUGACCAUUCCGGUGCCCCCGCCCUCAGGAGAAGGUGUAUCCAAUGGAUACAAAGGGGACACUACACCCAAUCUGCGUCUUCUCUGUAGCAUUACAGGGGGCACUUCGCCUGCUCAGUGGGAAGACAUCACAGGAACAACUCCUUUGACGUUUAUAAAAGAUUGUGUCUCCUUUACAACCAAUGUUUCAGCCAGAUUUUGGCUUGCAGACUGCCAUCAAGUUUUAGAAACUGUGGGGUUAGCCACGCAACUGUACAGAGAAUUGAUAUGUGUUCCAUAUAUGGCCAAGUUUGUUGUUUUUGCCAAAAUGAAUGAUCCCGUAGAAUCUUCCUUGCGAUGUUUCUGCAUGACAGAUGACAAAGUGGACAAAACUUUAGAGCAACAAGAGAAUUUUGAGGAAGUCGCAAGAAGCAAAGAUAUUGAG
Molecule: non-coding RNA, 746 nt
Filed under: Pan troglodytes (chimpanzee)
Lineage: Eukaryota; Metazoa; Chordata; Mammalia; Primates; Hominidae
Also listed under: 1 other name
Source: RNAcentral